Molecule: ribosomal RNA, 438 nt
Filed under: Triticum aestivum (bread wheat)
Lineage: Eukaryota; Viridiplantae; Streptophyta; Magnoliopsida; Poales; Poaceae
Description: partial small subunit ribosomal RNA
Source: RNAcentral
AUGACUAGGGAUAACCUUAGGAAGAGACACAUCAUCAAACCCCUUGAUUGUGUUUACUGCUUGGAACAAGAGUCUUGUUCUCACCUAUUUUUUGAAUGUAUAGUUGCUAAACAUCUCUGGGCCCACAUUGAAGAAUAUUUCUCUAGUCAGAUUGGCUCAUCCUUCGAAUCUGUCGCCAGAUUCUGGAUUGCUACCAAAAAGUGCUUAGUUUUAAAUACUGUUAGCUCAGCUGUCCUUUGGUGCCUCUGGAAAUAUAGAAAUGCUAUGAUUUUCAGUAACACCUCCUAGAUUUCCAUUCCGCAGGUCUUGAGGUUGAUCAGGAACAUGGUGAGGAACUGGGCGAUUCUCUCCUCCGGAUCGGACAAGGACAAGUUGAUGAGCUUCGUGGAAACCCUAACAAGAUCCCUCCAGAAACCGUUGGCGAUCACUUGUAGCUGA